Molecule: ribosomal RNA, 253 nt
Filed under: uncultured bacterium
Lineage: Bacteria
Description: partial 16S ribosomal RNA
Rfam family: Bacterial small subunit ribosomal RNA
Source: RNAcentral
UACAGAGGGUGCGAGCGUUAAUCGGAAUUACUGGGCGUAAAGCGCACGUAGUCGGCUUUGCAAGUCGGGGGUGAAAUCCCGAGGCUCAACCUCGGAACUGCCUUCGAUACUGGCGAUCUUGAGUCCGGGAGAGGUGAGUGGAACUCCGAGUGUAGAGGUGAAAUUCGUAGAUAUUCGGAAGAACACCAGUGGCGAAGGCGGCUCACUGGCCCGGUACUGACGCUGAGAUACGAAAGCGUGGGGAGCAAACAGG